UACGAAGGGUGCAAGCGUUACUCGGAAUUACUGGGCGUAAAGCGUGCGUAGGUGGUUCGUUAAGUCUGAUGUGAAAGCCCUGGGCUCAACCUGGGAAUGGCAUUGGAAACUGGCGGGCUUGAGUGCGGCAGAGGGGGGUGGAAUUCCGCGUGUAGCAGUGAAAUGCGUAGAGAUGCGGAGGAACACCGAUGGCGAAGGCAGCCCCCUGGGUCGACACUGACGCUCAGGCACGAAAGCUAGGGGAGCAAACAGG
RNAcentral lists this ribosomal RNA (253 nucleotides) under uncultured bacterium. RNAcentral's name for it is "partial 16S ribosomal RNA". It matches the Rfam family "Bacterial small subunit ribosomal RNA", at positions 524 to 776 of the family's 1533-position model. The record is from RNAcentral.